RNAcentral lists this ribosomal RNA (409 nucleotides) under uncultured bacterium. RNAcentral describes it as "bacterial SSU rRNA". It matches the Rfam family "Bacterial small subunit ribosomal RNA", at positions 355 to 776 of the family's 1533-position model. The record is from RNAcentral.
UGGGGAAUAUUGCACAAUGGGCGAAAGCCUGAUGCAGCGACGCCGCGUGAGGGAUGACGGCCUUCGGGUUGUAAACCUCUUUCAGCUCCGAAGAAGCGAAAGUGACGGUAGGAGCAGAAGAAGCACCGGCUAACUACGUGCCAGCAGCCGCGGUAAUACGUAGGGUGCAAGCGUUGUCCGGAAUUAUUGGGCGUAAAGAGCUCGUAGGCGGUGUGUCGCGUCUGCUGUGAAAACUCAGGGCUCAACUCUGAGCUUGCAGUGGGUACGGGCACACUAGAGUGCUGUAGGGGAGACUGGAAUUCCUGGUGUAGCGGUGAAAUGCGCAGAUAUCAGGAGGAACACCGGUGGCGAAGGCGGGUCUCUGGGCAGUUACUGACGCUGAGGAGCGAAAGCAUGGGGAGCGAACAGG